This 468-nucleotide ribosomal RNA is filed under the name uncultured bacterium. RNAcentral's name for it is "partial 16S ribosomal RNA". It matches the Rfam family "Bacterial small subunit ribosomal RNA", at positions 28 to 507 of the family's 1533-position model. The record is from RNAcentral.
GACGAACGCUGGCGGCGUGCUUAACACAUGCAAGUCGAACGGAAAGGCCCUGCUUUUGUGGGGUGCUCGAGUGGCGAACGGGUGAGUAACACGUGAGUAACCUGCCCUUGUCUUUGGGAUAACUUCAGGAAAAUGGGGCUAAUAUCGGAUAGGAUCUCCUGCUGCAUGGUGGGGGUUGGAAAGUUUCGGCGGUUGGGGAUGGACUGGCGGCUUAUCCGCUAGUUGGUGGGGUAGUGGCUUCCCAAGGUUUUGACGGCUAGCCGGCCUGAGAGGGUGGCCGGGGACAAUGGUACUGAGGGAGGCACCAGUAGGGUACGGGCGGCAGUAGGGGGGAAUCUUGCAGAGUGGGGGGAAGUCAGUUACAGAGGCGCCGGGUUCGGGAUAACGGCCUUCGGGGUGUAAACAACUUUCGACUGAGACGAGGCGGGAGUGACGGUAAUGAAUCAAGAAGCACCGGCUAACUACGUG